CACUGCGCCACGACGGGAACUCCUGUUCUGUUAAAUCUUAUCUCUUCUUAGUAUUUUUAACCAUUGGUGCUGGGACAACUGGAUAUCCACAUGCAAAACAAUGAAGUUGGACCCCUAUUUGACACCAUAUGAAAAUUAACUAAAAGUGGAUUACAGCCCUAAAUGUAAGAGCUAAAACUGUAAAACUCUGAGAAGAAAAUAGGUGUAAUUUUUCAUGUCCUGUCAGGGAAUGGUGCUUUAGAUAUACCAAAAGUACACAUAACCAAAGAAAACAUAGAUAAAAUGGACUUUAUCAAAAUUAAAAACUUCAGUGCUUCAGAAGACAUCAUUAAGAAAGUAAAAAGAUAACCCACAGAAUGGGAAAAAAUAUUUGCAAAUCAUAUAUCUGGUUAGACACUUGUAUCUAGAACAUGUAAAGAACACUUACAACCAAAGAAUGUUUAAAGCAAAUAACCCAAUUUGAAAGUGGACAAAGGAUCUGAGUAGACAUUUCUCCAAAGAAGACAUACACAUGUCCACUAAGUAUAUGAUAAGAUAUUGAACGUCAUUAGUUACCAUGGAAAUACAAAUAAAAAAUAUAAUCAGAAUUCAUGCCCACUAAACUAAAAUUAAAAAAACAACAACAACACUGUAACAAGUGUUGUCAAGGAUGUGGAAAAAUGAGAACCUUCAUACAUUGCUGGUGGGAUUACAAAAAUGGUACAGCUACUUUGCAGUACUAGUCUAGCAAUUCCUCAAAAGAUUAAACAUGGAGUUACCCAAUGACUGAGAAAUUCCACUCCUAGGUAUUUACUCAAGAAAAUUUUAAACAUGGGUCCAGCAAAAAACUUAUACAUGAGCAUUCAUAGCAGCAUUAUUCAUGAUAGCCAAAGAGUAAAAACAACCCAAUGUCUAUCAGCUGAUGAAUGGAUGAGUAAAUUGUGGUCUGUUCAUACAAUGGAAUAUUAUUUGGCUAUAAAAAUAAAUCAAGUACUGACAAAUGCUACAAUUUGGAUAAACCUUGAAAAUAGUAUUCUCAGUGAAAGAAGCCAGAUACAAAAAGCUUUAUAUACAAAAUAUCCAGAAUAAGCAAUUCCAUAGAAACUGAAGUAGAUCAGCAGCUGCCAGGGGUUGAGGGGUGGAAGAAUGGCAUGUGACUGAUAAUGGAUAUGGGUUUUUUUUAGGGUGUUGAAAAUGUUCUAAAAUUGAUUGUGAUGAGCAUUGCACAAAUUUGUGAACAUACUAAAACCCAUCGAUCUGUACAUUCUAAGAGACACUUGAAUUUGGACAGACAAGCAACCCAGCCACCUUUCAGUGUGGCUGUGUCAGUAUUGGAAUGAAAUGAACAUGACCCCCUCCAGCAGGGAAGGAACACACAGUAAAGGUAUUUUUUAUAGAACAAUUCUUCACACUGCCCUGGUGACUGGGGAGAGGAAUCUCGUGUUUCUCUUUUGCUGAUACUGAAUCAGCUGAAGAAUACCAUGAACGUUAGUAGAAAUGCUCUGAAAUAGUCUCCUCUCCCUUUUGUCUUUUUGUUCUCAGAGAAGAGAGAUUUUUUUAAAAAACGUGAAAUAUUUAAUGAAAAUGCCAAUUAAAAAUUGACCAGUUAUUUGGUGGUUCAGUUUAUAAUCAGAAGUGUUGCUAAUUAUUGCAUUAACUUGCAAAUCGUUGUAGUAAUUGGGCAUACUUCUGAUCCACUCUCUAAUAAAGAUGGCUAUUCUCAUUUACGAUAAGAACACACUCUCAACUAGCAGAGAAAACUGAUUUCAGCAAAGAAAUUCCCAUUCUUGUUUUCUCAACAGUUUAUGUAGUGAUUGGAUUUAUAUCUUGGCAACAUAGAUUGGCAAAAUUGGAACUGAUAAAGAGAGAAACUGAGUUUAUAUCUUAACUGGGGAGAAAUUCCAAACACCCUAGCAACAUGCAUCUCCCAGGUCUUACUUCUGUAUGUUAUUGCACACUUGCUUAUUAACAUUUCCUUAUAUAGAUACUUAUAUGUUUUCCAAGAGCUUAAUGAAAAUGAUGAUAAUAUCAUCUAUCCUCUCUGCAAUGGUUUAUAGUUUACAAAGUACUUUCACACACAUUUUCUCAUUUUCUGAGCAAUUUGGAAAUAUGUGUAAAUGGAAUAAAGUAAAUAAAUUUGUAGAGAAGUUUAAACUUCUAAAAUAGCUUAUUUUGAAUAUGUUUGUUAACCCAAAACCAACUCAAUAGCUCAAAUAAAUUUUUAGUCUCUAGGAAGUGUCAAUAUGAGCAGUUACUUAGAAUAUUCUGAAAAAAAUUAAAGUCCGAAAGUACAAAAUAA
Sus scrofa (pig) is the source of this 2278-nucleotide non-coding RNA. Lineage: Eukaryota; Metazoa; Chordata; Mammalia; Artiodactyla; Suidae. The record is from RefSeq and is a predicted model, not a curated record.